This 494-nucleotide ribosomal RNA is filed under the name uncultured bacterium. RNAcentral's name for it is "partial 16S ribosomal RNA". It matches the Rfam family "Bacterial small subunit ribosomal RNA", at positions 28 to 507 of the family's 1533-position model. The record is from RNAcentral.
GACGAACGCUGGCGGCGUGCUUAACACAUGCAAGUCGAACGGUGAAGCGCCUUCCUUUUUGGUGGGUGUGGAUGAGUGGCGAACGGGUGAGUAACACGUGAGUAACCUGCCCCCUUCUUCUGGAUAACCGCAUGAAAGUGUGGCUAAUACGGGAUAUUCUGGGUCUGUCGCAUGAUGGGUCUGGGAAAGAUAUUGUUUCGGUGGGGGAUGGGCUCGCGGCCUAUCAGCUUGUUGGGGGGGUGAUGGCCUACCAAGGCGGUGACGGGUAGCCGGCCUGAGAGGGUGGACGGUCACACUGGGACUGAGACACGGCCCAGACUCCUACGAGAGGCAGCAGUGGGGAAUAGUGCACAAUGGGCGCAAGCCUGAUGCAGCGACGCCGCGUGAGGGAUGGAGGCCUGCGGGUUGUGAACCUCUUUCGCCAGUGAAGCAGGCCUGCCUCGUUUGUGGGUGGGUUGACGGUAGCUGGAUAAGAAGCGCCGGCUAACUACGUG